This 389-nucleotide long non-coding RNA is filed under the name Salvia miltiorrhiza (redroot sage). Its description in RNAcentral is "long non-coding RNA (SMIL_LNC012899)". The record is from RNAcentral. Lineage: Eukaryota; Viridiplantae; Streptophyta; Magnoliopsida; Lamiales; Lamiaceae.
AAAAUAGGGAUAACGGUUCAUACAUAACGGUUUUGGUCAAAAACCGUUAUGUAUGAGCGCAUUUUUAGUGAUACAUAACAGUUUUACAAAACUCUGUUAUGUAUGUGGUGUUGUCUUAAUGUAUUUAUAACAGUAUUAAGUUAAUCGUUAUGUAUUAGCGUUAUCUAUUCGUGCUAUAUAUAACGGUAUUACUGAAUCGUUAAGCCAUACGUUAUGUAUGAACAUCUAUUUAAUAACGGUUGUUUCAACGUUAAGACAACCGUUAUAUAUGAGCAUUCAUUUAUAACGGUAGUUCCAACCGUUAUUCCCUAUUGUUAUCUAUCAUCAUCUUUUAUUUUUUAUUUUAUUAAAACUAAAAUAUAGUAGUAUCUAUUCAAAUUAACUUGUGC